UGCUGGGAAUGGCUGCAGCUCCACGUCAGAGAGCUGCUGGCAAGGCUGGAAGAGGACUGAGUAGCUGAGAGAUCCCAGAGUUCGUCCUGGGGGCUGUGGACUCCUGCACCAGCAGCGGGCUGCCUGCUCUCCUCCAUUCAGUGCCUCUCAAAGGACAGCUGGCUUCCAAGAGGAGGAGGACUGAUGUGCCCCUGAAACCCACAGCACACCUGGCAGACCACCCAGGACAGGCAGAGACCUUGCAAACAACAAGCAGGUACCAGCGGGAGAUGCUGUUGGACUCCCGAGAGUUCAGUAAUUCACUCUCCAGCCAGUGCCAAAGCCAGGUCAGCCUGAGGAAGUGCUGCUGACAGCACAGCUGGAAAAGAAGGCAUCAGAUUCAUGGACAGAGGCUGGAGCGUAUCUUUGGAAAGCCAGUGCAGUAAAAUUUUUAAGAAAUUUUGGAACACUGCAAGAUAAAACAACUCUGGGCUGACCCUUUUUGACCUACUUCCUCUAAAGUUCUGCAUGUAUCAGUUCCUGUAGUCUUAUCUGGAUUUUAUCAGAACUAAUGUCAAAACAUGGCACAAGCUCUCUGGCAUGUAAACCGAGGCUCUUCCAGCUGAGCUCCUCAGAAACCUCAGGCGACCGUCAUCCUGCUGCUUCCUGAAAGGACCAGAGGAGCACAGAGACCUGAGCCUUCAGAAGUGCCCACGCGCAGGUGUCUUAACACACAGCUGAAACAGUAUCAAUCCACUAAUCAGAACCAAAGUGUUUCUCUUUGAUCCCUUCCUGCAAACCACAGUAAUCAGCUGAAUGGCCUCAUCUCACCGACAGGAGUUUCUCAUGUCAUGCUGAAAACUGGAACUGAGUCUUACCACUUAUUGGGACAACAAGUGGUUAAAGUCAUGGAUUUAAAGCACUUCUGUCUACUAAACCCAAAGCAGUCAUUUAUCAGAGCACAUUAACUUGGCACAUUAACUCCCCUCUCCCUGUGAAGAGUCCUCGAACUCCACACGAGGUCUGAGCACGAAUAACCGCAGGAGGCGCAAGCAGUGCUCAUUUACACAACUGCCUCUCUAAGGACGGAGCCUUUCGUGUACCUCUCCUUGAAGCCACUUUGACCGGACAGGAGUAGGUACAGCGUUCACUGGGACACAGCAAUUCUGGAACAGCUUUCCAGUGAAGGAGAUGAAUCCCACCUUCUUUUCCUUAUCCCCAAACGUUACAUAUACACUGCUUGAAUCUUGUCUACAGCUCUUCUGUUCAUGUGAUCAGUACCCUGACCUGGUUGCCAUUCCAGUGAGAGGGGCUUGCCUGCAUCCUCUCGUUGGCAGCUCCCAGCUAACAAGGGGAUUUCCAACGGGUCUCCUUGGCAGUGAGCACGACACCCACACGUUCUAUUUAUGUCUACGUAUACAUCUGAGUGUGUUUCCUGAGCCAGAGAAGACAUUACGCUGCCCAAUGUUGUUACCCAAAGGGUGAGAACAGAGGAUGUGUUGGUUGCAAGAAGAUGAGUAAAACCUACCUGUUUUAGUCCUUCAUGUAUGUAUGUCUCACCUGCUGGUGUAACCUCCUCCAGAUCCUUCAGACCUUUCUUGAUUUUCUCUCUGCGAAAGAAAAAGAGGUCACAGCUGCACUAGACAGACCCAGCCAGAUGUCAACUAGCUCCCCCAUUCUCCAAGCUGGUCAAGUGCAAGUGGGUCCUGGUCUGGAUGUCAGAAUGCCAGUGUGGAUGCAGGACUUGGGGCCCCAGAACCAGCAGGAGAGCAGGAGUUUCACCCAGGCAGAGGCAGCAGGGCUCGUCCUGGCCACUGGCACCAGUCAGUGCUGCCAAAGCCGGCUCGCAGAAACCUGGACUGCUGCUGGCCAGGACAGCUGGCCAAAAGAGAACAAAGGCAACAUCGUGCCAGCUGCAUGGUAUUCCUGAAGGUAUCCACUAUCCCAAACCACGUGCUUUCCAACAGUGAGCCCUAAAGACAUGAAAAAAUCCUGAUAGCCAUUCUAUGGAGGCUGCUUUACAAAAGCAAAUGGAAGAAUCAUUCUGGUGCUGUGCCAAGUGAGAUGCAGAGUCACACAGAGAUGAAAACAUUACUGCUAGUUUUUCUGCAAAGCAGUGGCAGAGAUGCUCGGGGAACAAAGCAGCGGGAUUAUUACUCUCUCCCACGUGACUAGUCUCUGCUGAUGUGCCCACCCCACGCACGGAAGGAAACGCGCACCCUUUGGAAUUGCCCGGGCCGCUGUCACAGAAGCAGUGCCCACUGACUGCCCCAGCCCCAAGAAAGCAGCAUGCAGGCUCUUCCAGAGUGAGACUGGGCUUGUUUCUCUGACCAGAGAGCUGUGAGACUUGAAAACUUCUCCCCUAAAAGCAUCCAGGGAAAUGUCAUGGUUGCAGAGAAUCAUAUCUAACUAGCAGUGGAAAACACUUAGGAGUUGCCAGAUGCUCUGGAGGCCCAAGACAGGAAUUUUCCCAAGGUAAGCUGUAACAUCUCUCCUGCAUAAAUUUAUUCAUCACAAUUUUAAUAUAUUCACUAAUUUUGUAAUUUACUGUACAUGAGAAUCCCCAUUA
Molecule: long non-coding RNA, 2548 nt
Organism: Haemorhous mexicanus (house finch)
Lineage: Eukaryota; Metazoa; Chordata; Aves; Passeriformes; Fringillidae
Exons: 16
Source: RefSeq, a predicted model, not a curated record